GUUGUCUCCAGGUUUUUUAAUGAGCUCCAUCGGCACUGGGUAUGACCUGUCAGCCUCUACAUUCUCUCCUGACGGAAGAGUUUUUCAAGUUGAAUAUGCUAUGAAGGCUGUGGAAAAUAGUAGUACAGCUAUUGGAAUCAGAUGUAAAGAUGGUGUUGUCUUUGGGGUAGAAAAAUUAGUCCUUUCUAAACUUUAUGAAGAAGGUUCCAACAAACGACUUUUUAAUGUUGAUCGGCAUGUUGGAAUAGCAGUAGCAGGUUUGUUGGCAGAUGCUCGUUCUUUAGCAGACAUAGCCAGAGAAGAAGCUUCCAACUUUAGAUCUAACUUUGGCUACAACAUUCCACUAAAACAUCUUGCAGACAGAGUGGCCAUGUAUGUGCAUGCAUAUACACUCUACAGUGCUGUUAGACCUUUUGGCUGCAGUUUCAUGUUAGGGUCUUACAGUGUGAAUGACGGUGCGCAACUCUACAUGAUUGACCCAUCAGGUGUUUCAUACGGUUAUUGGGGUUGUGCCAUUGGCAAAGCCAGGCAAGCUGCAAAGACGGAAAUAGAGAAGCUUCAGAUGAAAGAAAUGACCUGCCGUGAUAUUGUUAAAGAAGUUGCAAAAAUAAUUUACAUAGUACAUGAUGAAGUUAAGGAUAAAGCUUUUGAACUAGAACUCAGCUGAGUUGGUGAAUUAACUAAUGGAAGACAUGAAAUUGUUCCAAAAGAUAUAAGGGAAGAAGCAAAGAAAUAUGCUAAGGAAUCUCUGAAGGAAGAAGAUGAAUCAGAUGAUGAUAAUAUGUAACACUGACUCCAGCAUCUAUUGUAUUUUAAAUUUCUACUCCACUGUAACUAUUUAGCCCUGUGGAUUAUAAAUACUCACUGUCCAAUUUUCAUUAAAUUUUUGUCUUAUAACAAAAAAA
RNA transcript from Sapajus apella (tufted capuchin), 905 nucleotides. It is a transcript of the gene named proteasome subunit alpha type-3 pseudogene, with no coding region annotated. The record is from RefSeq and is a predicted model, not a curated record. The transcript has a single exon. NCBI's taxonomy places the organism in Eukaryota, Metazoa, Chordata, Mammalia, Primates, Cebidae.